Molecule: unclassified non-coding RNA, 607 nt
Filed under: Hevea brasiliensis (rubber tree)
Lineage: Eukaryota; Viridiplantae; Streptophyta; Magnoliopsida; Malpighiales; Euphorbiaceae
Source: RNAcentral
UUUAAGAUCAUGAGUUUGAAGGUGAAAGGAGGAAUAGAAUAUGCACCUGAGUUGUUUGAUGAACAGAAGGAUCAAGUAACAGUUGAGCGAAUAUUGCGGGCUGUAUUUGUGGAUGUGGAACAUCCCAGUCCUGCAUUGGAAAAACUGAAGCUUCAGUUGGCUGAAGCUGAGGCUGCUCUUCAAGUUCGUAAGAAACCUCCACCUGACACUGGGCCUCGUGUUGUUGGGGAAGGUCUUGUAAUUGAUGAAUGGAAAGAGCGGAGAGAAAAAGUACCUGGCUCGACAAAAGGUUGAAGCAAUAGACUAAACAUAUGGUGGGGCUUGUUCUUGCUGUUACUGCUUCUGGCAGAUUAAAAUUUUAAGAUGAAGUAUACUCGGUUCGUGGAUUUCUAGCGAGUGGAGGUGGAGAAUAGGGUGGCUGUCAGGUGCCUCGGGGAGAAAAUGUAUGAUGCCAAAUUGCCAAUGUUUGUUGAACACUUUGGACGUUAGAGUGUAAGAUUUGGGCUUUACCCAGCUUGUAGAUAAUGGAUUUUGUUGUACGAGGAAAAUAAAUCAAUAAGGUCAGCUUUAUUUUGUAUGUUUUAGGAAUGGGGCGCUCGGUAGAAAU